AAAGCUGGCAAUACAAAGCAGGCAGACACUGGGAGAGAAUGCACUAAACAAGCUGGAAAAAUGGUGUUAGAGAGAAAACAAAGGAUGGAAAAAAAAUGUAAGUCACAUGCAGUGUAUCUUUAUAUGACUUUAUUAUAUAAUUCAAAUAGUAAACCUGCCUAUACUUUAUAUAAUUAAUAACAAACUGCACCCCACUAUACUAUAAUAACAAACUGCACCCCACUAUACUAUAAUAACAAACUGCACCCCACUAUACUGUAAUACCAUACUGCACCCCCACUAUACUAUAAUACCAUACUGCACCCCCACUAUACUAUAAUACCAUACUGCACCCCACUACACUAUACCAACAUACUGCACCCCACUAUACAAUAAUACCAUACUGCACCCCCACUAUACUAUAAUAACAAACUGCACCCCACUAUACUAUAAUACCAUACUGCACCCCACUAUACUAUAAUACAAUACUGCACCCCACUAUACUAUAAUACCAUAAUGCACCCCCACUAUACUAUACCAACAUACUGCACCCCACUAUACUAUACCAACAUACUGCACCCCACUACACUAUAAUACCAUACUGCACCCCACUAUACUAUAAUACCAUACUGCACCCCCACUAUACUAUAAUAACAAACUGCACCCCCACUAUACUAUAAUACCAUACUGCACCCCACUAUACUAUAACAACAUACUGCACCCUACUACACUAUAAUAACAAACUGCACCCCACUAUACUAUAAUACCAUACUGCACCCCCACUAUACUAUAAUAACAUACUGCACCCCCACUAUACUAUAAUAACAAACUGCACCCCACUAUACUAUAAUAACAUACUGCACCCCCACUAUACUAUAAUAACAUACUGCACCCCCACUAUACUCUAAUAACAAACUGCACCCCCACUAUACUAUAAUAACAAACUGCACCCCACUAUACUAUAAUACCAUACUGCACCCCCACUAUACUAUAAUAACAAACUGCACCCCACUAUACUAUAAUAACAAACUGCACCCCACUAUACUAUAAUACCAUUCUGCACCCCACUAUACUAUAAUACCAUACUGCACCCCCACUAUACUAUAAUAACAAACUGCACCCCACUAUAUUAUAAUAACAAACUGCACCCCACUAUACUAUAAUAACAAACUGCACCCCACUAUACUAUAAUACUAUUUCAGCACCCCACUAUACUAUAAUGUACCAUUCUGCACCCCACUAUACUACAUAUAUAAUACCAUACUGCACAAAUCUACUAUACUAUAAUAACAAACUGCACCCUACCAUAUUAUAAUAACAAACUGCACCCUCUACUAUACUAUAUAUAAUAACAAACUGCACCCCUACUAUAUUGUUAAUACCAUACUGCACCCCUACUAUACUAUAUAAACAACAAACUGCACCCUACUCAUACUCAUAUACCAAAUAACAUACUGCACCCCACUAUACUAUAAUACCAUACUGCACCUCCUUACUCAUACUAUAAUACCAUACUGCACCCCAUUAUACACAAUACCAUACUGCACCCCACUAUACUAUAAUAAUACCAUACUGCACCCCACUAUACUACUAUAAUACCAUACUGCACCCCACCACCAUACCAACAUACUGCACCCCCACUAUAUACUAUAAUAACAUACUGCACCCCACUAUACUAUAAUACCAUUCUGCACCCCACUAUACUAUAAUACCAUACUGCACCCCCACUAUACUAUAAUAACAUACUGCACCCCAUUAAACUAUAAUAACAAACUGCACCCCACUAUACUAUAAUACCAUACUGCACCCCCAUUAUACUAUAAUAACAAACUGCACCCCACUAUACUAUAAUACCAUACUGCACCCCACUAUACUAUACCAACAUACUGCACCCCGCUAUACUAUAAUACCAUACUGCACCCCACUAUACUAUAAUACCAUACUGCACCCCCACUAUACUAUAAUAACAAACUGCACCCCACUAUACUAUAAUACCAUUCUGCACCCCACUAUACUAUAAUACCAUACUGCACAACCACUAUACUAUAAUAACAAACUGCACCCCACUAUAUUAUAAUAACAAACUGCACCCCACUAUACUAUAAUAACAAACUGCACCCCACUAUACUAUAAUACCAUACUGCACCCCACUCAUACUAUAAAACAAACUGCAACCCCACUACACUAUACCAACAUACUGCACCCCCACUAUACUAUAAUA
RNAcentral lists this long non-coding RNA (2200 nucleotides) under Pelobates cultripes (western spadefoot toad). The record is from RNAcentral. Lineage: Eukaryota; Metazoa; Chordata; Amphibia; Anura; Pelobatidae.